This 246-nucleotide unclassified non-coding RNA is filed under the name Glomus sp. Its description in RNAcentral is "partial contains 5.8S ribosomal RNA and internal transcribed spacer 2". The stretch from base 1 to 65 matches the Rfam family "5.8S ribosomal RNA", at positions 84 to 154 of the family's 154-position model. Lineage: Eukaryota; Fungi; Glomeromycota; Glomeromycetes; Glomerales; Glomeraceae. The record is from RNAcentral.
GUGAAUCAUCGAAUUUUUGAACGCAAAUUACACUCUCUUCGGAGAGUAUACCUGUUUGAGGGUCAGCCUAAAAAAAAAAAUCGACAUAGUCGCUGUUUCGCGGUGACAUUCGUCGGAAAUUUUUUCAUCUUAAAACUUUGUGUUUUAAUCGGCUUAAACUUUUCUUUACGAUUCCACGCCUGUUUCUAUGAUUUACUUCUUAUACGUUUAAGGUAUCGAUCUUUCCUAGACGUGGCCCUUGCAUAG